RNAcentral lists this non-coding RNA (141 nucleotides) under Nocardioides luteus. Lineage: Bacteria; Bacillati; Actinomycetota; Actinomycetes; Propionibacteriales; Nocardioidaceae. The record is from RNAcentral.
GUGACCGCACAGGCGCGAGGUGCCCCGACUGGGGAGAAUCUGGGAAGCCGGUGGGAAUCCGGCACAGGCCCGCUGCGGUGAAUCGAGCCCCACACGGGGGACUCGACAAGUCCGAAGACCGGCCCCGCGUCCAACCAUCCA